GGGGUGGGGGCUCAGUGGUACAGUGCUCACCUAGCAUGCAGGAGGCACUGGGUUCCAUCCUCAGCACCACA
Molecule: transfer RNA, 71 nt
Filed under: Marmota monax (woodchuck)
Lineage: Eukaryota; Metazoa; Chordata; Mammalia; Rodentia; Sciuridae
Description: tRNA.Ala
Source: RNAcentral